This 24048-nucleotide long non-coding RNA is filed under the name Podarcis lilfordi (Lilford's wall lizard). The record is from RNAcentral. Lineage: Eukaryota; Metazoa; Chordata; Lepidosauria; Squamata; Lacertidae.
AACAACACCAGAGCCCUGUGCUUUCAGAUCAACUGUUCAACAUCCUGUUUCCCACACUGAUGAUCCAGAUGACUCUGGGAAAUCCACAAGCAAAAUGUGAGGCUCUACCCUUCUCCUAUUGUACGGUAGUUCUCCAGCUAUUGAAAUUAAGAGGCAAGCUGCCUCCAAUCUGGAUAGCCCCAUAGCUAUCAUGACUAGUAGCCAUUGACAGCUUUUCUUCGGUGCAUUUGCCUAAUUCCAUUUUAACACUGACUAAACUGGCACCCAUCACCAUGUCUUAUGCUAGCAAAAUCCAUAACCACUCCCUUUGGUUUGUCCUGAAUCUUCAACCAUUUUAUUUUAAAGUGUAUGUCUUGGGGGGGGCAGAAGGAGACCAUGGUUCCACUAGCACAUGGGUAGGCAAACUAAGGCCCGUGGGCCGGAUGCAGCCCAAUCACCUCCUAAAUCUGGCUCGUGGACGGUCUGGGAAUCAGCGUGUUUUUACAUGAGUAGAAUGUGUGCUUUUAUUUAAAAUGCAUCUCUGGGUUAUUUGUGGGGCAUAGGAAUUUGUUCAUUAUUUUUUUUCAAAAUAUAGUCCGGCCCCCCGCAAGGUCUGAGGGACAGUGGACUGGCCUCCUGCUGAAAAAGUUUGCUGACCCCUGCAGAGGUUCCGGGUGUUGCAAUGCCACUUCCUCAGAUUGGAGAAGUCCUGGCAGAAUGAGAUUCUCCUACACUGAAGCUUCUGACGCAGUGGGGAUUUCCCAGGCCACCUCUCAGAGCAAGUCCCUCUUUUCAUCUCCAGUUCCAGUUAACAAUUGAUAAGCUCCUUUGUUCUUUGGCUCCUGACCUGCUUUCUUAAGUGUUUGACCAAUAUGUGAGUUUCAAGGGGUUUGCGCUAGAAUCUCUAAGGAAGGGUGCUGAAAUGUGGUAAAUAUAUUGUAAUUGAAUACGGAAAUAAAAAGACUGGUAAGACUGUUGGUUGUAAGAAUAAAAUUAAGGUUUAUUACUCAAAGUAAACAAAGGCAUUCUGAGUGCAGGGUUUACUGUGGACUGUAUGGGGCCAAGAUGUUCACACUAACACAUGCUAACUCAUACUGACUAGCUGUAGCUAAUUAAACUUUGAGAAGCUGCGGGAGUGAAGAAAAAGUCUGAAGGACAUAAUUACUUUACCAGCAAGUAGUACCUAAAAGAGAAGGAAUCAGUGAGGAGGCAGAACUUUCUGUCUAUCCCCCACCUUCACACCCCCACCUUCACACUCACACACACACACACACACACACACACACACACUGGUUCAGGUAAUUAAUUGCAAAUGUUAUUGCUUCACUCCCCAAAAAGGGGAAUCAGGCCAUGAGGUCAUGAUACCACCCUAAGGUGCUGGCCCACCCGUGAGGCAAGAUGAGGUGACCACCUCAGGUAGCAGGAUCCACAGGGACAGAAGAUCCCAAUGUAGAUCUUUAUUCCCCCCAUGUUCCUGAUGUAGGUCUUCACUCACCCCUUCUUCCCUGGCAGAAAGUGAGGAACCAUUUUGUGGUUCGCCUCAGUCACCAAAAUGUCUUGGGCCAGCCCUGCAUUUGGAUUGCCUUCUCCAUGAAUAAUAAGUCAGGCAGAAUCCUAGAAAUGAAGGCCUGGGAGAGGCUUGCCUUUCAGUGUACCUCUCUACCAAGAGGCAGGACUACUGACUCUCCCUGCUAGUACAUCUCAAAGAGCAGAGGAGAGGACACGGGGGAGGGGGGAGUCCUUAUAGAGUGAAUGGCUUAAGAUUGUUCAUGAAGGUAAGGCUGUGGUUGCAGAUAUCAGAAACGGCUGCUAAUUCUUUUGCCUUGGAAAUGUAGCACUGCAUUUUUCCACAAGUAGUAUUUUUCCUGUAGUUUACAUACUGUUAAUUUCUACUUGAGUCCCACUGCUUUUAAACAAGAAAACAAGAUUCAUGGGCCUAGGUCAUGGCUCUGAAGUCAAUCAUAGGUAAGAUAUAAUAACAACCAGACAUAGCUGGAGGCAUUAAAAGUAGCUCAGCAGGUUUUCUGAAAGAUAUACCACUGCUUGAAUGUACAUGAUGAUUUAUGUCAACGUGAACUGUGACUGCCUUUGCAGUUUUGUCCAGUUUAAUCCAGGAUGACAGUUCAGAUAUUUCUUCAGAAACGUCCGGAAGAACAACUAUUACUGACUGAUCUUAUUUCUUAGAGAACUUAUUUGUGUUCCUUAGGUGAUUCUAUUUUUUUUUUUUUUUACUACAUUUCUGGUUGAUGGGAUGGACUUACAUGCUCUUUUACUUUUUUGGUUGUGCGGUGAAAGUAAGAGAUUAGUAGAUUCUUGUAGAUUUGUGAUUUUAACUGAUUAGUCAGCAAACCAAAAGAAAACAUUUUGAUUACUUAAGUAUUUUUUUUAAAAAAUAUGACAAAUGUUUAAAAUGAUGGCCUUCUCCCACACAUAUAGGAACACAGGAAGCUGCCUUAGAGUGAGUUGGGUCUUUGGUUCAGCUAACUCAGUUUUCUACUCUACACUGACUGGCAGCCACACUCCAUGCUUUCAGGCAGGAGUCUUUCCCUGCCCCAUCUGGAGAUACAACACAGGGAUGAAGGCUACUUCUAAAAUGAUUCCACCAUGUGGCUGCAAGCACCCUUGCAAGAUCACACAGCCCAUUGAGUUUAAUGAGUUCUACUACUGAGUAACUUCUGAGUAAAGGUGCCUUCUAGUUUGCAGCAAGGGACACGGGUGGCACUGUGGUCUAAACCACUGAGCCUCUUGGGCUUGCCGAUCAGAAGGUCGGCGGUUCGAAUCCCCGUGACGGGGUGAGCUCCCGUUGCUCAGUCCCAGCUCCUGCCAACCUAGCAGUUCGAAAGCACGCCAAAAAGUGCAAGUAGAUAAAUAGGUACUGCUGUGGUGGGAAGGUAAACAGUGUUUCCGUGCGCAGUAUUGGCCCUAGGGUUGAGGGCCCCUGAGCCCCUUAAAGGUCUGAAAGCAACUUGGACAUAAAUUUACCCUUUAUUCUUUACAUGAAUAGAACAGCAUUUAAUGUGAUUGGCUAUAGACCACAGCAGAAUGAUUAUAUACCCAAAGUUGCAAUGAAAGCAUAGAUAAAUGUAUCGUAGUACAUUCCUUGUGGUCAAUUUUUAUUACAACUGGAAUGGAGACUAAUGUAUUAAUAGUCAACACACUGCAAAUACACGAAUGCAAGUCAUAAACAAAACUGAAACAAGCCAUUACCUCUCCUAUGUAAACAGAAAUAGCAAAACAACAAUACAAAACCCUAAAAAAUUGCUAUCAUGUACAGGAAAAAAGGCAUAAGGACAGCUCCCGACCAAGGAAGUUGGUGUGGAUGGACCUGUCUUAAAUGGGGAAAGGACUUCUAUCUGUUUUUGUAGGGAAGGGCUUGUUUGCUUGCAAUCCUACUGAGUUAAAGAUAAGGCAGUCUGAGAAUGACUGACUUUAAAAGCAGCAAGCAGACUUUAGUACAAGACUCCGUCCUCUAAAUUGUGGGGUGCCAGGUCAUUGCUCAAUUUGCCCCAUCCUUAAAGUUGCCAUAAGGGGUUUUAAUAAGGGGUGGUUCUUUAUUGAUUGGUUGGCACUGCCUGCUUGGUUAGUGGUGAAUGAUUUUGGCAACUUGACUAUGUUUAGCUAGAUAUUCUAUAGUGGAUUAGAUAGGGCCAUUAUUAUACACUCUAUUGUUUCUGGUUUGCCGUUGGAUUUUUUGGCACUCUGGAUAAUGUCUGACAAUAUAUUCAAUAUUGAAUAAGAUAGGGCAGCUAUUCUACUGUUUCUGGUUUAUCUUUGCAUUUUUGCCAGCUGAUUAUGUCUAACAAAAUAUUCUUUGCUGGAUAAGAUAGGGCAACUGCAAUGCAGUCUAUUCUUUCUAGUUCUUUGUAUUUCCUACAAGUGUUGGUGUCCACCUUUGACUUCUGACUUGCUCAAAAACAAAUCAAGCUGCUACAUGUGUUCCCGCAGUGUUUGAUGGAACACUUGUUGCAUGUCAAAGCUGCCUGCAAUGCCAGACAUUACCGUGGGCUAGGAUGAAGAGAUGGAUGUAAAGUUGGGCAAGCUUAAAGGGGAUAUUGCCAGUGGGUUUGUGUUUUUAUAUGGGAAUGGAGCUGUAAGUUGGACUAGUCAUAAACAAAAUUCAGUAGCUAACUCUUCAACAGAAGCAGAGUAUGUCUCUGCUGCAGAAGCAGGGAAAGAAGCACAAUGGCUUAACCAGAUUUGAGAGGAUCUGGGAAUGCCGGAUUCUAAACCCCUUAAGCUUAUGGAAGACAAUCAGAGUUGUCUGAAAUUGGUGCAAUCAGAGAAGAUAAAUACACAUUCUAAGCAAGCAGACAAAAUGUUACACAAUAAGCGAUUUGAGCCAGAAGGGAUUUAUUGAAAUGCAGUAUUGUCCAACAAUGGAAAUGACAGCUGAUAUUUUAACAAAGCCUUUGUCAAAAGAAAGUUUUGAGAAGUUACGUGCUAAAUUAAAUUUGAUUAAUUCAAAUUAGGACAUGGGUGGCGCUGUGGUUUAAACCACUGUGCCACUUGGACUUGCUGAUCAGAAGGUUGGUGUUUCGAGGCCCCACGACAGGGUGAGCUCCCGUUGUUCGGUCCCAGCUUCUGGCAACCUAGAAUUCGGAAGUAUGCAGUGCAAGUAGAUAAAUAGGUACCGCUCCGGUGGGAAGGUAAAUGGUGUUUCCGUGCACUGCUCUGGCUUCGCCAGAAGUGGCUUAGUCCUGCUGGCCACAUGAACCGGAAAAACUGUCUGCAGAAGCGGACAAACACCAGCUCCCUCGGUCUUUAGAGCGAAAUGAGCGCCACAACCCCAGAGUCGUUCAUGACUGGACUUAACUGUCAGGGGUACCUUUACCUUUACUUUUUUAAGCAAGCAGACAAAAUGUUACACAAUAAGAGAUUUGAGCCAGAAGGGAUUUAUUGAAAUGCAGCAUUGUCCAACAAUGGAAAUGACAGCUGAUAUUUUAACAAAGCCUUUGUCAAAAGAAAGUUUUGAGAAGUUACGUGCUAAAUUAAAUUUGAUUAAUUCAAAUUAGGCACAGUGAGAAGGGAAUUGUAAGAAAAACACUAAUUUGAUCAGUAAAAUGUCUGGCAUCUGGUAGCUGGGGCUUUUGUGUUGUGCUCUGGAAUUGGCCUCUCCCUUUGGGUGUUCAGUUCAGUUACAGAGACCAGCAGUCAUUCUUGCCACAUUCUUGCCUCUUGAUGUUGUUUUCGUUUUCCUCAGAUAAUAUGUUAUUGUGUUACAAUCAGGGGUGCCAAUUUGGGUCCCAGGUUAUGGGUGCCCAAUGGCACCUACGACAUAACAUGAUGUCAUGACGUUGUGACAUCAUUACGUCAAGUUACAUCAACAUCAUGCAGCAGCACUUCUGAGGCCUGGCAGGACCUCCGACACAGCUUUUGGUAGAAACUGGAAGUUGCACUGGAGCCUGCAUUGUGGGUGCUGAGCAUCCACAAAAAAAUAAUAAUUGUGGGUGUCCAGGCCCCCAGGGCCCCCUAUCAUUGACACCUAUGGUUACAAUUUUCUUUAUUAUUAAAGUUUUGUUUGACAUGUUAUGUGAGCUGCUUACUUUGCUAAAAGAAAAGGAAUUCUGCUGAAGAAUGGUGGAAUAUCCUUAACUGGGUGAGUGAGGGGAUAUUCCCAGUCUGACAGGAGGAUUGAUUUUUUAAUCACCCCCCUCAUCCACAACAGUUCUUGCAUUUGAAGUUGCAACUGCGCUGGUUACGAAGUUUCAGCCUUCCUGGGGUAAAUUCCCAUGGCCAUUUCCUCCUGCUUGAAGUCAAUAUGAGUUGAAUACUUAAUUGAGUUUGUUCAUUGUUGAACAAAACUUGCAAGUGGUUCAACAAUUACUCAGAUUGUGAGUCAAACUAUGUGGUUGCAACCUUUUCAGUAAAAGUUUGAUCCCAGAUCUCCCCAGCUUUAAUAUGACAUGUGAUAUCAGGAAAAGGGAUUCAAUAAAAAAUAUCAUUUGUAAAGUAUACACACACACUAAAAUUCUACCCACUUGUCUACAACUAUAUAAUUAAGAAGAUCUUGUUUCAUACAAGGGGUACAAACAACACAAAUAUGCCUAAUGAAUAAGAGAAAGAUUGUUCCAUAGUGGUAUGGAGUUAUGGAACACAGAAACCUGGUAGCCAUAGUUACCUUCUGCUGUUUGUCCAGCAGAGAGAUUGGAUGGACACACACACAACCCUAAUCUCUGAGUGGUGUGAUAUUGCAGAGAUUGUGGGUGCUUACCCAGGGUUUGUGUUUCCUUUGGAAUAAGGCACAGCAGAGAAUGUGUGUUGUAUACAUGGUUUAUUUACACACAUAUAUAACCUCAGCCUACAAUGGAGGGGUUCACAGCGUCAACGCCCCAAGAUGGUCUUAUUUCUCCCAUGGCCACAUCAUUGGAUUUAAUGGCCUGUCACCCAGGUGAUCACCUCAUCAGGAAGCCAACCAGGCUUAUAUUUUAACACUGGCUGGAUCCGGGGGUUAGAAGGGUCUUGGUGUACAGCCUACUGCCUCCCACAAAACCCCCCAUAAAACACACACACACACACACACACACACACACACACACACACAAUCUGUACUUUUUCCAAGGAAGUCAGGGUGACAUAGAUGGCUCACUCCUCCUUUUUUAUCCUCAAAACAAUUGUGUGAUGUAGGAUAGGCUGAGAAACUCAAAUAUGUAGGUUAAGCUGAAAUGUUGAUCCCAUAUCAUCCAGUGAGCUUCAUGACUGAAUUGGGAUUUGUAUUUUGGCCACUCUCUACCCUGGUGCAACCUUUGGCAACUUAGUGCUCUACAUAUGAUUUGGACUACAAUUCCCAUCACCCCUAGCCAGUAUGGGCAUGCUGAUAGGAGCUGUAGUUCAAGAUAUCUGGAAGGUGCCAGGUAGGGGAAAGCUGCUCUAGCAACUAGACCACACUAACUCUCAAAUGACAGUAGACUGAAAGUGAAAUCUGUUGCUUAUCAUCAAUCAUUAAACACUAAACCUUUGAAACAGUAACAUCAUUACAUCCUAUUAGCAUCUUUGGUUUUUCUGCACUGGAGACAAAGACCAAGGCUGCACUUAUCAACCCAGAACUUCCUUUCUCUGUAGAAACAUGGGAAAAGUCAACACACUAUGAUUGCAGGGUAAACACUUACUGGUAAUACAUAGGUUUCCUGAUAAUUCAUCUGAAAGCAUUUAAAUUAACUUAAAGGUAAAGUAAAGGUACCCCUGCCCGUAUGGGCCAGUCUUGACAAACUCUAGGGUUGUGCGCCCAUCUCACUUAAGAGGCCGGGGGCCAGCGCUGUCCGGAGACACUUCCGGGUCACGUGGCCAGCGUGACAAAGCUGCAUCUGGCGAGCCAGCGCACCACACAGAAACGCCGUUUACCUUCCCGCUAGUAAGCGGUCCCUAUUUAUCUACUUGCACCCGGAGGUGCUUUCGAACUGCUAGGUUGGCAGGCGCUGGGACCGAGCAAUGGGAGCGCACCCUGCCGCGGGGAUUCGAACCGCCGACCUUUCGAUCGGCAAGCCCUAGGCGCUGAGGCUUUUACCCACAGCGCCACCCGCGUCCCUUUAAAUUAACUUACUAUUUGCCAAAUGCUUAGAAUCUAUACUGUUAGCUCGCCAAGAUGUAUCACCCAGUUGCUGUAGGCAGAAAUGGCCAAUUUUGUACCUCAUCCCCGCCCCCAAAAGCCCCACUGCAGAGUGAAAGGGAGUAGCUACCACUACUACCCACACAAAUUGGUUCUCUGCUGCAUUCUGGCAAAUGGUUAUCAGGAAAAUAGCAAUAUCUAUUGGCGUUAUCUUAUGUGUGUUCACAAGCUACUAAUGGCUCAGCACAACUCUUCUUUGUAAGGAACAAUGACUGUUCAGCUUAUCAAUAUAUACAACAUGACCACCUGGGCUUCUGGUUUUGAGACUUAUCAAAGAUUACCCUAAAUAUAUAUUUGUACUAACAUACAGCUCUCAAAGCCAUAUUACACACACAGAGGAUGAAAGGGCUCACAAGCCCUAAGCCAACAAAUUGAGAGAAGUACAUUCAUGCUGUCAUUAAGAUAUAUGCACACAGAUUUGAUCCAAUAUUAGAGUGAGGCAUCCUGGGCAAAGUAGCUGGGAAAGCACCUGCACCACCACCAAUUUUUGUUGCUGGGAUUUCCUUUCCUCCCCCACUCUAAGCUUAAACAGCUCUUCAAGCUGUUGUGGCAAAUCACAAUGGUACUCUCCUUGAUGACUCAAAGUGCUGGGUUUGACCUAUAAAGCCUUAAAUGGCUGAGAACCACAAGAUUUCAAGGACUUCCUCUCCAUAUGAACUGACCUGCAAUCAUCAUCUGAGGCCCUUUUCAUCUGCCUCCCCCAUGAGAGGUCCAGAAGGUGGCAACACAAGAAUGGACCUUUUCUGUGAUGUCCCUCUGAUUGUGGAAUGUUCUCUCCAAGGAGGUAAUGCUUAAGGAACUGCAGUCUUUCACCUAAAAAAAAAAGAAAAAAAGAGAAAAGAACACCUCCCAAAAAGAACAACAACCCAGGUCUCCCUAGGGACUAUGCUGCUGGGAGGUUUGAACUGUUAUAGAACUGUUUUGAUAACUGGGCACUGUGGAUUGAAGUGGGGUAUCAUUGGAGGCACCAGUGAACUGGAGCACUGUGUGUUAACUGUACAUGUGCUCCUCUUGCAAUUUGUGAAAUGACAACUGCCAUUUUUCAAGGAGUCUUAUGAGUGAUGGCCAUUCCAUCUCCCUCCUCUGGUGAAACCAACAAUGAGCAUUUCCACAGAAUUCCCACAGUCAGUCUACCAGUAGCCUCAAAUGCUUCAGUGGGCAGUCACUUGGGGGGGUUGCCAAAUAUUUUCACUUGUCUGAAUCUCUGACAUUCUUUCCACCACCACCAUUUGUUUAGUCUGCACCUAGAAGGAAGUCUCAUCACAGUUCUGAUUCUCACUUUAUCUGGCAAGAAUCGUACGACAGAGGACCUCAGCUAGAGAAGAAUGAAGAUAAAUGAACAUUGGUGCCAAAAUUCCAGGACAUGCCCAUGUGUAUUGUAGGCUGCAUCAUAUCCUUGUUUAAUAUUGUUGUUAGUACUCAUGGCUUCACACGGGCACAACUUAGUAAAAACACCAUUCUGAUGUCAGACAUCAAGGGGAAUUUCCUUCUAUUACGUUCAGCAAAAAAGGAAAGGAGGUGGUCUUUCAUAACUGAUAUUAAUAACUAACUGAUGUUACAACACAAGGAAACAAUCCACAUUUGCAUGAGUCAUAAAUGAUCAGAAAGAGAGAGAAAUACGUCUGUCUGUCACAUCUAUUUGAAAUAUAAUCUGAUCUGCAAACAAAAGUGCUAAGAAUACCAAGAUGAGUCAAUUUAAGGCCAGAGCUUCUUUCAUUUUGAACUUUGUGUAUUUGGGAAAAUGCACAGAAAGAGCCUAGAAGUGCGUUGCUGAGUAUUCAUAUGAAGUUUGUAGUCAAAAGUCAUGGUCAUGAGUCUAGGUUCCACAAAUCCCCGUUCUGGGUGUAUGCACACUGCAAUACUCAAAUCUAUUGUUUGGAAUGGAAAGCCUGUUCAAUGCACACUUCUUAUACAGUGGUGCCUCGCAAGACGAAAUUAAUCCGUUCCGCGAGUCUCUUCGUCUUGCGGUUUUUUCGUCUUGCGAAGCACGGCUAUUAGCGGCUUAGCGGCUAUUAGCGGCUUAGCGGCUAUGCGGCUUAGCGGCUUAGUGGCUAUUAACGGCUUAGCGGCUUUAAGGAAAAGGAAACAAACUCGCAAGAACUCGCAAGACGUUUCGUCUUGCGAAGCAAGCCCAUAGGGAAAUUCAUCUUGCGGAACGACUCAAAAAACCGAAAACUCUUUCGUCUAGCGAGUUUUUCGUCUUGCAAGGCAUUCGUCUUGCGGGGCACCACUGUAUCUCCCACGAAUCUUUCUUGGUAGCUGAAGACAAGUUAUAUGAACACAGAAUUUUAUGAUAUCAGUUGAAACAUGCUAGGGCUCUUGACCUGGAUGGGACCUUCUCUCUGCUACUUGGCUGCACUUUCCAUUACAUAAACCACCCAUAGAGAGGAGCAGAGAGGGUCCUGUCCAGGAAGCCAUGGGCUCAAGCUGCAGAGAACCCCCAAAGUCACUUGUGCAUGCCUGACAUAUCCAGGGCAUUUGGGCAUUUUGAGCACUGCAGCUUUCAUUAUGUUUGGAUGAGCCAGACAUGCACAGGAGUCUCCAAUGCCUCUCUAGAGCACAUGCCCCUCCUCGUCUGGUAAGUAAUGCAGAGUAGAGAUUGGUAGAGAAAGUCCUAUCCAAAUUGGGAAGGGCAGUUUACAGGGAAGCGUCUAGCCUUUGACAUAUUCCCACUGACAUAAUUAGGCCUUCUUGGCACAGAAUUGAUUUCUUUUAAAAAGUGAUUAAUUUUGACCAUCCUACAUUUUAAUGGAUCUAUUAUCAUUGGUCACAGGGAAACCAUCUAUUGCCAAUUAAUCCAUUAUUUCAGCUCAUUAAUCCAGAAUUACAAUUUAUUCCAUACUUGGGCCACUAAUCACUUUGCCUAUAAGCAGGCAUUUAAAGACUAACCCCCCUCCCUGUUUUACCAUUGCACUUGUAAAUGCAACAACUUACUUUUUAAAACUGCUAAGGGGAAAAUAAUUUAUGGCACCUGAAACUUUGUGUGUAUUUUGCAAAGCAUGAAGGAACCAAGCCAUUAAAGGUCUUAUAGAUUUUCUCUUGUUUUUCAAAACCAAACCUUGAGUUAUGACUUGGGGGAAAUGGGGAACCAUUACCUAAUGAAUCUAGACUUUGAAAAAUAUUAUUCCCUUGUAGUUUUAUUUUGCUUGAAUAGGUCUCAUAUAGUGAUGUACAUUGAGCAGGUUUGUAACGGACUGCAGGGGGAAUAGAAAUGUAAGUUUUGUAGUUAAAAAAGCAUGCACACAUCAGAAGUGCAUUAUAUCUAGUCAAUUUUGUUGAAUCUUUCUCAUUGUGGCAUGCUGUUUAAAAAAUGAUCUAGGGCUCUCAGAAAUAUUACCAAAAGGAGAAAUCAAAUUUUGAAAUACAAGUCAGGGUUCAAAGAGCUGUGAACCAAGGGUAGCUUUGGCUAAGUGGAAAUUCAAAACUGAGAGUUGCUGGUUUCCCCCCAAAACUAGCUUGCAAUGUGGUAUGUGAGCUGACUGUGUACAUGAAGAAGUCAAAAGAAUUCUGGCAUAAUUCUGGCAAAAUUCUCAAGCUCUUUGCUUGAGCCUCUUUGGUUCCUGUCCUCUGAGACCAAUGAAGGCAAAUUUGGUGAAGUUAAUGAGGGAGAACUUCAUUGAAGCAGUUCAUUGUCAAUGUUUGUUCAAAAAUUGGCACUGCUUGUAUGCUGUGAGAGCAAAGGAGUAAAGUGGCAUUGUAAACAUUUGAUCAGUGAUGAUAGUUGUGUUUAUAUUUCUUAAAUUAAAAACACAAGACUGCACGCACACAAUAAAAAUCACCCUUAAUCUUCAUGAAAUUUGUGGAGUUCAAAGCUUCCCACUGACACACUUUUCAUUGCAAAAUUCACACAUAAUUUUGUGUACAGGGUAGUCCUUCUUGGGUGUUGUUACAAAUUGUCCCUCACAAUGCUCCCAAAUUUCAAUCAGCUGCCACUUGCUAUUUUUCUUAUGGAAACAAAAAAAUCACUUGUAGCCUUAAAUGUCCUAGAAAUGCAUUGAAUUUUGCUAUUGGGUUGUGUCUACUACCCUAGUCAAUCGUAGGAAAUAAGGGUAGUAAAAUGCAUCAUCAUUUUUAAAUAGACGAAUGGUUUGGGAAUGGUCAAGAAAGUUUUUUAGCUGUCAGUAGGUUGCCACAAACCACCAAGGACAGCUUUCUUGCAGGUUUCUUAAUGAGGUAAGAAAAACAUCUCACAAAACGUUAAUUUUAGUGAAUGUUAGGUAUCAUUAGUUCUCAGCUGUAACAAAGUGUUUUCUAGACAGUUUACAACAGGCAUAGGCAAACUUGGCCCUCCAGAUGUUUUGGGGAUACAACUCCCAUCAUCCAUGACCACUGGUCCUGUUAGCUAGGGAUAAUGGGAGUUGCAGUCCCAAAACAUCUGGAGGGCCGAGGUUGCCUGUGCCUGGUUUACAAUAUUUUCAGGACAUUCUUUAGUUUAAAAGUUUUUGUUGUUUGUAACUGAAAAUGAGCCGCCAUAUAGUGGAAAUCUCAUUGGGGUUGAGAGUCCACCAUCUCCUGUGAGAUAGGUUAGGCUGAGAGGCUGUGACUGGCCCAAGGUCACCCAGUGAGUUUUCUGGCUGAGCAGGAAUUCAAACGUUGGUCUCCCAGGUCCUAGACCAACACUCUAACAACUAAUUGCACCUUACUAGCUUCCUUUGUGCAUCCCAUUGUUUUCUGUUUAUUUCCAUGACACUUUCCAAACUUCAGGAAGUCUGAUUCUUUUCCAAAGUAGAUUUGUGCUGCUAGGUGAGGGCAACAGAACCUUUAAUGCAGUUUAACUGGGCAAAUGGAAAGUUCCAGUAUGUGCAAGAAUACCUCCUGUGAAAUACUGACCAUCUGGAGUCACCCUCCCUGAAUUCAUUAAGAGGCAGUCAGUGAGGAUUUUCCAUCAAACACAGUAACAUAACACAAAUUAAAAAGGGGCAAAAGUUGAGCGCCAUGGGGGGAAAGUUUCAGAAGACAGAAAAGCCUGGGGCACUGUCUAAGACCAACCUAGAGGUUAUAAUAUAAAGGAUGAUGGAUGGGAAAGUUUGCAUCAAAAACAAAACAAAAAAUUAAGCAGGCAGCGUGUACCUGUGUGUCCUUAGUUGUUUUAUUGUACUGUAGUGUCAGUAACCCAUUAUGACAGAGGAGUACAUGUGGUCCCAUUGAUUGUUAACUGUCCUUGGGUAUGGAAGGUCACAGCUCAGCCCCACCACUGUUGACUCAAUGUGUGACCCUGGCCAAAUCACCCAUUCAAUCUUGGUUUCCACUUCUGUAAAAUGAGCAGGUCAGAGGCUGAAUGAGGGGAACGUAGCCUCAUCCUACCCCUUUUCUGGCAAUUCAGUUUCAGUUUAUUUGUUGGAAGAAAGGAGAGUCCUCCAGAGAGACGAUGGAACUGUCUUUGCGGAUCACCACCUUGGAGCUUCAUUUUCCAUGGCCACCCUCACACUGUGAAUAUUGGUGACAUACUAUGCGGGGCUAUUGUGAUGGACAAUACACUUCACACAUCGAAAGUAUUAUAAAAGAUAUGCAGCAGUAUUUGAGACUGUUGUUAGCUGAGAAAUAGAAGCAAAAGUAAGUACCAUUGACUUCCAUAGCUUUCAACAGGAGAAACUGAAACACGUGUUUAACAUUCCCAUUGAGUAAUGGGGUUCAGAGUCACUUAACAGCAACUGAAUCAUGUCCAUAGUCUUCCGGUUAUGUAAUGAAGAGCUGUGUCUUUAACAUCAUUAAAAUAAAUAAGCAAAUAAAUUGAAUGUCACAUCCUUCCCACAAUAAUUCUACAGCAGGAGGUUUUCCCCAGGGGAUGCAAAUUUUUGCUGCAAUUGUCUUUUACAAGGGACGGGGUGUACAGCCUGGGGGUGAGGAUCAUAGCUGGCGGCAGGAACUAUUAGCCGCUGGCUGCAUCUGCCUAUCCUAGUCUUAAUGCCGUACUUUAUUGGUACAUAACCACUGAUAACCAUCAGCACCCACAAGGCGUGUGUAUAACUUCGUGAAUCUACUUUUGCUAUAUUAAUCAGAAAACAACAUAAGAAGUAACUUUCUAGGAAACUGAGAAAUUAUAUGUCAUGAAGUAUGAAUGGGACGUGGGUGACGCUGUGGGUAAAACCUCAGCACCUAGGACUUGCCGAUCGCAUGGUCGGCGGUUCGAAUCCCCGCGGCGGGGUGCGCUCUGGUCGUUCGGUCCCAGCGCCUGCCAACCUAGCAGUUCGAAAGCACCCCUAGGUGCAAGGAGAUAAAUAGGUACCGCUUACCAGCGGGAAGGUAAAUGGCGUUCCAUGUGUGCUGCGCUGGCUCGCCAGAUGCAGCUUGUCACGCUGGCCACGUGACCUGGAAGUGUCUGCGGACAGCACUGGCUCCCGGCCUAUAGAGUGAGAUGAGCGCACAACCAUAGAGUCCGUCAAGACUGGCCCGUACGGGCAGGGGUACCUUUACCUUUACCUAUAGAAGAUCUACUAACAUGAGAUGUUAUACUGGAAUGUGAGGACCAAACUAGCAAUUGUGUGAAUUGGUUUUUAAAGUAAGGGGGGGUGUAUUGAUCUGCAUUGGGACCACCAUGGGGGUAAAGGGUUAAAAUCCCCCCACCCCCACCACUUGCACACCUGCUAGGGUCCAAAUCCACAUCAAAUAUCUGGCCAUGUGAUCAUUUCAAUAAGGAAUCAUGGAGCCAGCAUGCUAUGUAACAACCUCAUAAAACCAAAUCAAAGUAAGGGCAUCCUGUUCUUCAGCUAAGUAGGAGAGCAUCUCUGACUUGUUUUACAAUACAUACCCCCUCCAAUUAUUGCUGAAAAAGGAGGCAUAUUUUGCAGAGAACAUUGCAAAUGUGGGGCCCGAUAUUUCGGCUCAGUCCUGGAGUUAAGCUUGUGUUUAAAUCUCUUCCAUUGAAGUUGGUGGGGUGUAAAAGCACUGAUAUUUGACAAGGAAAAGACCCUGUAGGCUUUGCCCCAGACACUUUGAACCCAAGCAUCUAGCUGUGCAAACUGGCUGACAUUCGAUAGGGUCCUACUGGUUUCAACAAAGACAAGGAUUUGGAUCUCCUAAUUUUCUAAACUAUAUCCUGUCGGUGAACAUUGCUAAUGUAUAAAGGAGCGAGUGACUCAUCAGUGUAAUGAACUAUGAACACACACAUUGCUAUUUUUUGGUAACUGAGUAUGUUAGGCUAUGAGAAUAGAGCAACUCUAUAAAGGGCAUCAGAUGGAAAAGCAAAAUAUCCUGAUAUGAGGCUUUAGAAAACUGAAUCCGACAAACAGAGGGGCCUCACCCAGUAGCAAGGUGAGCAAAUACAGGGCAAUUUAUCUUCAAGUGCAUUAAGAAUCUUUUGCAGCAAACGUUUGCUGAAGGCCAGAUCACUGCACAAAGCAGUACAGCGAGAAGCCAGGAGUGAUUAGAAAGUGGGAAGCUCACAGCCUCACCCAGAAUACUCACCUCUUAAUCACAUUAUCAGCAAAGGAGGGCUUUUCCUCAUUGUUAGAGACCGUGGAAUCACAGGGUUUUAGCUUCUCUGUAAGGUCAAAGAAUGAGUCACUCCGCUAACACAAUGCAGAGAAUAAAUUUCAUUGCUGCACACAAUGGGGGACAACAAUGUAGACUGGGGAUAGCCAGCUUCUAUAGUCUCAGAGUGAUGCCAUUUUCUAGCCAAUGUUCUGGGAAAUGGAUGGUGUGCUUUGCUGUGCAGUCCAACUGCCUCUGGUUGAACAAUAAAGGGAUUGCCACAUAUAUCUAUUUAAUUUAUUUAUUUAGAAAGAUUGAGGAAGCAAUCCCAAACCUCUCACAAGGGUGUACAUAAUUGUAGAUGAAACACAGCUAAAACCACAAAACUAUUAAAAAACAAAUACAGUAGUACCUCAGGUUAAGAACUUAAUUCGUUCUGGAGGUCCGUUCUUAACCUGAAACUGUUCUUAACCUGAACCACCACUUUAGCUAAUGGUGCCUCCUGCUGCCUCCUGCUGCCGCUGCUGCGCGAUUUCUGUUCUCAUCCUGAAGCAAAGUUCUUAACCCGAGGUACUAUUUCUGGGUUAGCGGAGUCUGUAACCUAAAGCGUCUGUAACCUGAAGUGUCUGCAACCCGAGGUACCACUGUAUACAUUAAAUAAUUCUCAAUAAAACACAGAUAAAAAUCAGUAUUGCAAUUAUUUCUAAACACACACUAAUGUGAGUAACUGCAUUAUUUGAUUAGUUAGGCUUGCUGAAUUUUUUUAUUUUUAUUUUUUUAAUCAGCAAUAUUUAAAAAAAUAUUGAGGGUGCCUGCCUAAUGUCAACAGCAGUAAGUGUUUCACAAUUGUGGGGCACAAUUAUAUAAUUAAGGCAACAUCAUUUAUGUGUACAGAGCCUGAUGAAUGUGUGUGCUUCCUAUGAGAGUUCCCUCUAGUGGCAGAUUAGCAGUGACCCAUUGCCUUUCUGUGCAACCUGUAUGGAAAGCAAAUUAUAUCCCAUUGUUUCUUCCACAAACGAUUGUCCAGAGCUUUUUUACCCACUCCUAAGAGUGAUGUGGGUGGCGCUGUGGUCUAAACCACUGAGCCUCUUGGGUUUGCUGAUCAGAAGGUCGGCGGUUCGAAUCCCCACAACGGGGUGAGCUCCCAUUGUUCAGUCCCUGCUCCUGCCAACCUAGCAGUUCGAAAGCAAGUCAGAGUGCAAGGAGAUAAAUAGGUACCACUCCGACGGGAAGGUAAACGGCAUUUCUGUGCACUGCUCUGGUUCGCCAGCAGCGGCUUAGUCAUUCUGGCCACAUGACCCGGAAAAACUGUCUGCAGAAGCGGACAAAUGCCGGCUCCCUUGGUCUGUAGAGCGAGAUGAGCGCUGCAACCCCAGAGUCGUCCACGACUGGACUUAUAAAAGGUAAAGGACCGCUGACAGUUAAGAGUGAAAUUAAAGUGUGGAGCAUCUCCCAGUUUUGGGAUGCAAAAUUAUUUUCCUUGCUACUGAAACUCUGAGCAAUCUUCUUUUAAAAAAAACAACUAAAGUUGAUUAAAACUUGGUGUGACACAGUUGUUUGGUGGGGGGUAGGCGUGGAUCUGGCCCACUGCGUGUCAGCUUGCCAUUUCUGAUCUGGACAAUGUUCUUUAAUAUGUUCACCAGGCUCCACAUGACCACAUGGAGAUUAUGAGGAGGCAUUGGUUCUAGCAGCAUCUCCAUAUGAAAGCUACUGGCACACCAGUUGCAAUUCAAGUGAUCAUGGCAACCUUUCUGCAGCUGCCAGGAUCCUUGCAACACCUUUGUGUCCACUCUUCAUAUGGAGACAUUGGUUCAUAUAUGCAGUGCCUGCUCCAAGCAGUCUCAGGCAGGUUGCAAAUCCAUUAGCAGCAGUGCAAUCUUAAAUUUCACCCUCUGUUUCCCCUAAGAAUAGAGUUUCAUCUUCAGAUGGUGCAUAAUCCUCUUCCUUCAGCUUAGGAUCUCAUGUCACACAAGAGAAUGGGUAGGCAAACUAAGGCCCGGGGGUCGGAUCCGGCCCAAUCACCUUCUAAAUCCGGCCCGCAGACUGUCAGGGAAUCAGCAUGUUUUUACAUGAGUAGAAUGUGUGCUUUUAUUUAAAAUGCAUCUCUGGGUUAUUCGUGGGGCAUAGGAAUUCGUUCAUUCCCCCCACCCCAAAAAUAGCCUGGGCCCCCCACAAGGUCUAAGGGACAGUGGACCAGCCCCCUGCUGAAAAAGUUUGCUGACCCCUGCACAAGAGGGACAUACAGAAAAAUGUCUGCCCUUAGCCAGUGAAUGAAGGACACAGAUAAUUGUUAGAAAGCUUCAAGUCGGGCAAAACUUCUCUUUUAUGAUCAAAGUACUUCUUCUGAACUUUUUAAAAAAGAGGGCAGAUUAUGCCUACUUUUUAAAAAGAUGAAAGAUAACUUGGGCUGGAGAACCUUUGGCCCUCCAGAUUUUUUUUUGGACUACAAUUCCCACCAGGUCCAGCCAUCAUGGCCAAUAGGCACUAUGGGAAUUGCAGUGUAGCGACAUCUGGAAGGCCUAAGGUUCCCCAGCCCUGGUCUAACAAUCAUUAAAGUAGCUCUGCCUUUAAAGUGAAGCAGAUUUAAUCUUAGUUACCUUCCUGGGAUUCUGCCUUGGAAUUUUCUUGUGUUGUUCACACCAGAACUCCUUGUGGGGAGUCUAUAAUGAACAACCAGUGUAUAAUAAGCAAAUAAAGUAAAUAUUUUAGUUAGGAGUAGUACUAAACUGGUUGACCCCUUUUCUAUGUAUAACCAUGAACAUGAUAUACUUUAUAGCACUCCCCAAAAGGUUGGAUUGUGAAAAUGGGUAAGUAUCUGCAUUUAGAAGGGAACAGGGUUAUUAGUAGUUCAUGAGUUCCCCCUUCCUGCCUCACAGCCGGAAAUUAGAACUACUUAAACCUCUUUGGUUAAGAAUAUGCUCUGCAAUGAUCCAUAUUUAAAGUGAAGAGAAUUCAGAUAACUUUUUAAGAAUCUUGAAGGUCCUGUUUUAUCAUUGCAUCAAAUGUUUGCUCACCAUUUCCUAGACUGAAAACAGGAAUUUCUAGAACUAGGCCGUUGAGGUAAUCAAAAGAGUUCAAAAGAUAAAUUUCAGCGUGAGAGAAUUACCUGGAUAGGUUCCAGCCAUGGGGCUGAUUGAUUAUUAUUAUUAUUAUUAUUAAUAGCAAAACACAUUAGCAAAUAUUUAAACAUUUGGAUCUCUGCCCAGCACCAGAAAAAUUUCCGAUCGGAAACCAACUGUCUGUUAGUUAGAUAAAAGGCCAGAGUGAAGAGUUAAGUCAUGUGAGCUAGAAGGUGGAAGUAAAGCUGCAGCCUGGAAAGGCAGAGAGAGAGAGCCAUGCCUAAUUUCUGCUGGAAUCCAAGGCUGUGGCUAUGGGGGACGUCUUGGGCUGUGAACCUGUCCAUCACAGGCCACAGCUGUCAACUUUCAGAUUUGAAAAUAAGGGAUCAGCAGCCUCACCUGUCCUGGUGACAGUCUACGGGAUAUCUAACAAUCUGGGAUAGCAGCGGGAAGCAGCGGGAAACGGAGCUGGAAUAAGGGAAUUUCCCGCAAAAAAGGGGAAUGUUGACAGCUAUGUCACAGGCUCAGGUUGUAUAUAUGUGUAAAUAAGCCAUCGCUAAAAACACCACAGUCUCUGCUGUGCCUCAUCCCAAAGGAAACACAAACCCAGGAACACCUGGAAUUUUGCACCGCUCAGAGACUGGGGUGAUGCACAACAAUACAUUAUCACCAAGUUUCCUUACAAUGAGUUGCAAUCCAUUGCCAGGUCCCAGUCUUUUAAAACUUCAGUGUUCAGUACAUAACGUGCUGCCUAACUACAUAUAAAAUUACAACCUACAAACAUGACAAUAGCAAUUGUGAAACAUGAUAUCUUAGAACAGAAAGUAGGUGUAAAAACUAGAUGUAUUUAAAAACAAAGCUACCCGGUGCAGCUCUCCGUUGCAAGAGGAAAGUCUUUUUGUACUCCACUAAGAAAGAACAAUGUACAAAAAAUUCCUCAUUUGAAAUGCAUUUGGGCCUCUUAUGUUCUGUCAUCAGCCAGAUAGGACAAGGUCUGCAGGAGAACUGAUACUUCUAGUACUAUUUACUCAGGUUUGCAAGAAAAUAAUUUCAGUGUCAGUUGGCACUUUGAUAACAUUUAACUGGCCGUUAUCAAAUGAGAAGGAGCAUUUCCAAAAAUGGCAGCAGUAUAGAAUUUGUACUAAUGUAGCAGCUUUGAGUUCCAGGGCAGUGGACACUUCUCAAAAACCCAUUUUGUUGGUAGCUGUUCAUUAUUUUUAUUUAACAAUCUAAUAUUUGUUCAUUUAUAUAAAUUCCUCUCUUAUACUUCAUUCAUACAUUUUUCCAUUUUCAUGUUUCACUCAUUGCUUGCAUACUUUCAUCAUUUCUGGCCUUUGAUUUAAAUAAAUCUUUCCAAUUUGUUUUAUUUUUCAUCUGUCUCUGAUUCAUUUCUGAUUACCGCUACUAGUUCACUGGAGCAAGCUUACUGGAGAAAAAUGGGAGAAUCUAUUUUCAAAUGACUUCUAUAAGCACAUUUAUUUAUUUAUUUUGCACACUCCAGCUAGUGAAUGGGCAUGAUGUGCAUCUGAACGAGCAUUCUGUUGAAAGAAAAGGAUGGCAUCUGGAAAAGUGCCUCUGAGAUGUGCAUCAAAUAGAAUUUAAUGGUGAGUUUCCAUAUUUUUAUGUGCAUUCAAAUGCACAUUCCGAUGUUCAUCUGAUUUACUACUGCAGUUCCUAAAAUAAAUGUUAACCAAGACACACUGUGGUAUUUCCAGAAAAAAUGAUUGAAAUAACCAUUGGUUGGUUGCAGCCCACCUUUCACCAAAUGGUCCAAGGGUGGCAUACCAAAACACCAUAAGUAAGUGCAAUGUACAAUUACAAUCAUAAAAUUAAACCACAAAACCUACCAAUUUCAGAAUAAUGAAACAGGAGCACAGAUCUCCAGGGCACAGCAAAGCAGAAUAAUCACAGAUAUCUACUCAGCUGAGGGCCUGGGGCAAAGAGGUACCCCUUUCCAAGGAUCCAAGCUUUCACUCAACUCAGUGUGCCAUUUAUUUGCACCCAACAUUUUGUGCUCCAUUAUUCAGCGAUGACGUACUGCUAGUUUUACUGAUGUGAUGGAAACCCAUGCUAAAAUGCAUGACAAUGCAAUCUAUGAAAGACAACUGGGGGGGGGUGAAAGGGAGGCGCUGAAGUCUGCUGUAAAUCUGAUCAUAAGAACCCAAGCUGUUAGAGAGGCACCAGAAAAAUGAAAUCAAAGACAAACUUUCAUAGGUAGCUGUGUACUUUAUUUGGGAACUUCUCCAUUAACCCUUCAGUGUAUAGUGCAAACAUUUUCUCUCCACUGAACAAUCAGAUGACCACUUUGCUAUACAUGAAACUGCAACACCUGCCCACUCAGUUUUCAAUCUACUGUAUGUAUGAAAUUCAGUCCUGAAGCUGGAGCCUAUCUCUUUUCCUAAUGUAUUAUUAUUAUUAUUAUUAUUAUUAUUAUUAUUUUCUUUUUCUACUAGCCUGGCUUUAUUUCCUUUGUUUAAAUCUACCAGUCAUCUUUAGAAUCCUUGCAAGCCACAUAUGUCAAUCACAACAUUUCUCUGAACAUGCGGGUAUCAGUUUAUGUAUUUUUGUUGAACAAUGAUAUGUUGUUUUAUCUUUUAUAAUCUUUACACUGUCGUUUCUCCCUUUUCUAAUAAUAAAAAAAUGAAGUCCCAUGUUCAGGUCAUAGAAAAGUAAGUAAUAUGGGCAACAGUAUUGCACUUCAGUCAGUGACCCCAUGUUGGGUCCAUCAAUCUCAGUUUAGGCUGGGCAUUUUUACCUCAUGCCAGCCUAUUUCUAAAGCCGUCUGUAUUUAAUUUACCGCUCCUCCCUCAGUUAAAGGGUUAUUGUGUUGGCCUCAGUCACUGAAAUAUCAGUGGACUGGACUUUUCAUGAAGAAAAAUGGUUGUUCAUGACAGGUUGUUUAUGAGGUUUGCUUGAUUCAUUGAUCUAGAUCAUGUCCACAUCUAUGUUCACAGAGGAAUUUUCCCUAGAAACUAUGGAGAGAUGUUACCAGCGGAUGACUGAAUAAAAAUAUCACAUAUAAUUCUUCCUGAAUAAGCACCUCAGAAUGCAAAUUUAGCAGAGUAAGUAAAUAUUUUGUGGGGUACAUACACAAAGCAGGACUGGCUUUAACAUUAGGCUGAGGGAGAUAACUGGCUCAGGAAGCAGAUGCUGGAGAAUGGGUAGCACUGGCAGGAUGUUAGAGGACAGAGUUCCAUGUGCCAUGUGACCCAGUCCAAACCCAACCCCCAAGCUAGCCUACUGUCUCCACAUGCAGUAGAGGCAGGGUGGGGCAGUAGUACUUACCUGACUUCCUAUCACCAGCAUUGCUAUGACAUACUGGGAGAAGGAGAUGGGUAUUGGCAAGGUCAGCAUGGUGCAAAUGCACUGGCAGAUAACCAGGUUAUUAAGAGACUUGUCCCACGGUGAUGGAUUGCAGCCUUAAAUGUUUAGGUUUAGGUUUUAGCAGUAAUUUAAAAAGCCAAAUAAACUUUCUCAGCAUCAUUUCCAGGAAAAGGUGAGCAUGGUGGAUUAAAUGGAAAGUCUGAACUCAGAAUAGCAUUGUGAAAAGCAUAGGAGUUUUUUAUUGGAUUCUUUUCUCUGCGUCAUUGGUCAUUCAUUUAACAAUAAAUCAAGAGGAGAUCCAGUGAUCUGAUAUGUUCUGGGUGGCAGUUGUAAACACAGUUAUUAAAUCAGGCCAACCAGUAUCAAAAAAUUGAGAGGAAAAUGAUGGGACAGGGGACAACUGUGGAAUGACUAUGGGUGUUGAUAUAGAGCAGGUAGAACAGCCUCUUCAUGAGCUGUGAGAGAUAGAAGAAAACUUGGGAGUUUUCAAUGAUAAUCUGAUUGGCAUCCCUCUGUCUUGGUAGACAAUGGAGGAGUGCACCUUUGCAGAUGAAGUCAGAUGAUUGGAGAGUUACAGAGCCCGCUGUGGGUGUAGAGACAUGUUUUGUUGUGGCUGGGACAGAUGAAAGUGUCCAGUUGUGCUGCUGCAGAUACUCCAUAGGUUUACUCCUUCGCCUCUUCUCCUGAAGAUGUCCCACAAGACAGUGCGUAUGGAUUGUUCCUCAGGGUUUACUCCCAAAGCCUUUCUCACAAAUGAGUAUAGCCGCAAGGCAGCAGAGGUUUAGGAUCAGAGUUUUCCUUCUCCUUGAUGGGCUACCUUCCCAGGUUGACGAGCCCCACCUGCCCUUCAUUUCCCUUUACAGCAUGUGCAGAAACUGCCUUCUUGUAGAUGCACACACAAAUGUGUGCCUCUUCAAAGGAAAACACACAUAAAAACAACUGUACAAUAAAUACAACACCUAAAACCAGUAUAAGAAGAUGGCAGCAAUACUACAGUAAAAUCAAAAUCAAGUUUCAAAGAGAGAGAUUGUACUAUACAGUGGUACCUCGGGUGAAGUACUUAAUUCGUUCCGGAGGUCCGUUCUUAACCUGAAACUGUUCUUAACCUGAAGCACCACUUUAGCUAAUGGGGCCUCCUGCUGCUGCCGUGCUGUCAGAGCACAAUUUCUGUUCUCAUCCUGAAGCAAAGUUCUUAACCUGAAGCACUAUUUCUGGGUUAGCGGAGUCUGUAACCUGAAGCGUAUGUAACCUGAGGUACCACUGUAUAGGCUUUUCUUAUUUGCUGGAAUAGCAUCAUGGGUGCUUUGAACUGUUUGCUAGUACCCUUCUUGUGGUGCCUUUGCACUUGUGGUGGGUUGUUGAAUUGUUGUGUUGCCCUCUAAAUCUUGUGUUUGCAUUACCAGUGUGUGUUGCAAAUGAUUAAAGCCAACAAUUUGCAUGCCUCUCUUGUCUUCUCUUGAACUUCCUGCUUGAACUUCUGGGCAAUUCAUGAUUAACUUGUUGAUGGGGGGCGGGGGCGGGAGAGGUCUCUGCUGCUGCAAUGGUGCAAUCGAUGAAUUCCUCGCUAAUUGUGCUACUUUUCUUAAUGUUUGGUCACAUAUGACUUUUUUUUUUAAAAAAAGAUUUGCACUCCACCCAUCUUAAAAAGCUCUCUGCAGGUAAUAAUAAAUUAAAACAAUUAUCCAAAUGCUGUUAAAUGCCAACCAAAACACACAACACUGUCAGGAUGCUGUCAGCAGCUCCCAGUUGAUUGCCCAGGAAAGUAUAAAGACAAGGAAAAGUUUAUUACAGUCCUUUUUUAUUUCAAACUUUACAGUGAGAGGCUAUAGAACCCAGCCUCUUGGAUAAUGGUGGUGUCCUGAGUGAACCUCCACCCUCUUUUUCUCCCACUUUCUCAUUUGUCAUUAUCAUCAUCUUCUCUUCUAUGGGUGCUGCUAAGUGCCAUCUGUCUUUGAGCUCUUUGUUCUCCUACUUUUAAGGUUCACCGGUUUCUGGGAGAUGGUGGGUCUGGAAUGCUUUCUAUGUGUCAGCCAGCUGCUGCUCUGGCUCUGCCUGCUCCUCCUUUCCCAUGAUUCCCCAACUUUCCCCCUCAUCUGCCUCUGAGCUGUGACCUCCUGCAAACCACUGUUGUAAAUCUAUACUGUCUUCCUCUUCCUCCUCCCUGGAAGGGUUAGGAUGGGGAGGUGGUCUCCACCAUUCCUCCUCCUCUGCCCAGACCCUGACACACACAAAUUGCAGAGUGUACACUAACAUGAUCUCCAUUUUAUAUGUCAGAAGAAGAAAAGGAAAACAUAAAAUGUUUGCCUUUUUCCUUUGAAGUAAAAUAUUGAACUUAAUAUUAAAAAAAUCUGGAGAUGUUUAGAUUAGAAGUCUUUCCUGCAAACAAAUUUAAAGGUUCUCACCAACAUUUGGGAUGCAAAAUGUGAUGUUCAUUUGUUAACUUAGGUGCCGGAAUGAAAUUAGAUUUUUAGUUUAGAGGAGGGUUUUUUUUUAAUUAUUAUUAUUAAAAAAUGUUUUUUAAUGGCCACUUACUGUCCCUAUGUGAAUCUCUCCUGGAUGUUGUUUCUCAUUGUGAGUUCUUUGCUGCCUUUGUGUUCCACUUAUUUAGUACAGAAGAAAUCCUCCUUUCAAAGGGAUUAGCACAACUGUGGAAGCAUCAAAUCUCCAACCAAC